Molecule: ribosomal RNA, 1346 nt
Filed under: uncultured bacterium
Lineage: Bacteria
Description: bacterial SSU rRNA
Rfam family: Bacterial small subunit ribosomal RNA
Source: RNAcentral
GACGAACGCUGGUGGCGUGCUUAACACAUGCAAGUCGAACGGAAAGGCCCUGCUUUUGUGGGGUGCUCGAGUGGCGAACGGGUGAGUAACACGUGAGUAACCUGCCCUUGACUUUGGGAUAACUUCAGGAAACUGGGGCUAAUACCGGAUAGGAGCUCCUGCUGCAUGGUGGGGGUUGGAAAGUUUCGGCGGUUGGGGAUGGACUCGCGGCUUAUCAGCUUGUUGGUGGGGUAGUGGCUUACCAAGGCUUUGACGGGUAGCCGGCCUGAGAGGGUGACCGGCCACAUUGGGACUGAGACACGGCCCAGACUCCUACGGGAGGCAGCAGUGGGGAAUAUUGCACAAUGGGCGGAAGCCUGAUGCAGCAACGCCGCGUGCGGGAUGACGGCCUUCGGGUUGUAAACCGCUUUCGCCUGUGACGAAGCGUGAGUGACGGUAAUGGGUAAAGAAGCACCGGCUAACUACGUGCCAGCAGCCGCGGUGAUACGUAGGGUGCGAGCGUUGUCCGGAUUUAUUGGGCGUAAAGGGCUCGUAGGUGGUUGAUCGCGUCGGAAGUGUAAUCUUGGGGCUUAACCCUGAGCGUGCUUUCGAUACGGGUUGACUUGAGGAAGGUAGGGGAGAAUGGAAUUCCUGGUGGAGCGGUGGAAUGCGCAGAUAUCAGGAGGAACACCAGUGGCGAAGGCGGUUCUCUGGGCCUUUCCUGACGCUGAGGAGCGAAAGCGUGGGGAGCGAACAGGCUUAGAUACCCUGGUAGUCCACGCUGUAAACGGUGGGUACUAGGUGUGGGGUCCAUUCCACGGGUUCCGUGCCGUAGCUAACGCUUUAAGUACCCCGCCUGGGGAGUACGGCCGCAAGGCUAAAACUCAAAGGAAUUGACGGGGCCCCGCACAAGCGGCGGAGCAUGCGGAUUAAUUCGAUGCAACGCGUAGAACCUUACCUGGGUUUGACAUGGAUCGGGAGCGCUCAGAGAUGGGUGUGCCUCUUUUGGGGUCGGUUCACAGGUGGUGCAUGGCUGUCGUCAGCUCGUGUCGUGAGAUGUUGGGUUAAGUCCCGCAACGAGCGCAACCCUUGUUCACUGUUGCCAGCACGUUAUGGUGGGGACUCAGUGGAGACCGCCGGGGUCAACUCGGAGGAAGGUGGGGAUGACGUCAAGUCAUCAUGCCCCUUAUGUCCAGGGCUUCACGCAUGCUACAAUGGCUGGUACAGAGAGUGGCGAGCCUGUGAGGGUGAGCGAAUCUCGGAAAGCCGGUCUCAGUUCGGAUUGGGGUCUGCAACUCGACCUCAUGAAGUCGGAGUCGCUAGUAAUCGCAGAUCAGCAACGCUGCGGUGAAUACGUUCCCGGGGCU